UGAAGGGAUGAUGUCUCUUGAGCCUACGAGCCCUAGCACAUCCUAUAUAUCCUCAGGUCUGUGCUGUGUGAAUGGAUUUUUGACUGACAUCAUUUGGAGAAUCUCUUAUUUACUUUGCCCCAUCAAGAGUGCUUGACUGACAGGCAUGUGGAGCCAGACCUUGCCUGUACUUAUCUUUUUACGGAAUCCUGGGAUUGUGUGGAAGACACUGUCACCUUGACAUCCCUGUGGAUAAGCCAGUUCUGGGUGCCAUAGAAGAGGGUGUGAUACAACUCUGUGCCUUAUUAUAAUUGUCUGUGGUUCAGAACCCAGGUAUCUGAACCAAGAAUGUUCAGAAGAACAUCCAUGCAUGACUGGGUAGAUUUUCUUGCCUAUAAGGCCAAGUGACCUCUUAGAGUCUGGGAAACAGCAGGCAAGGGCCACAGGCUGAGGGAAGUAUGGCUUCCUCUAAGUGGGUCAGACUGGAGAACAGGGUAGGAAUUUGCCAGGGUUCUCAGUAGAAUGUUUGGGUAUAAGAGGCAUCAAGGUGUGUGCACAUACAUGCUGCCCCAGUACUCUGAUGGCUCAGCUUCUGAUAAGGGGCAGAGCAGGACCACAUGGUCUUUGCCCUAGAAACCAAACUGUACCUUUGCCCAAGGCGAGAUAAAUUGGGAAGGGAACCUCUGUCUCUCAUUUCAGCUGUGGGGUAUGAGGCUAGAAAGUUCUAGAUGUUCAGAGCCAGGAAACUUUCUAGAGUGUUUUUGGGGCAUCUAGGUAAAUCUCUGACCAGGGGAUUGAAUAAUCAGAGCACAAGGAUACUGGGAUGGUAUUAACAGUUUCGUUGUUAUACAAGGGUCCUCAGCAUCAGCAACCACAGUCUAGCCAUAGGCACACACAGAGGGAAAUGUCCCAUCUGCCCCUCUGUUCCUGAUCAUCUGCUUGGUCCUUCUGAACUCCAGGCCCAGUACUCAUCACAAUCUCUCACACUGUUCUUGCUGGAUCCUCAGUGUUGAGUGUCCUCAGGCAUCAAUGACCCUGUGUGUGCUACAGGGGACAUCCUGUGGGUUUUAGUGGAGGUGUUUUUCCCUCACUGCUGUCUGUCAUCCCUGUAAGUUCCUCCCUCCCUGAUCCAUUACCACCGGUGCUCUCUCAAUCUCUGAGUCUGCAGUAGUUGGCAGCUCUGACCUCUUUCCCAUCUGCCUCUUUCAGAGUCUCACACUGAACACACCCACAGGAGGAGAUGUUAAGUGCAUAGGCCAGAGCCGUCAAGAAGCCAGCACAGUGAUCCAGGGCCAUGAUCAAUUCCUGGGCAUGAGUGCGGGCUGCUAUGGGAUGCACGGUUUCCAAACAGGAAGUGGUUAUGGGCCUGCCAGAUCCAGCAUGGGUAAAAGUAUGGAAGCAGGAAACUGAAGAUUCUUUUUCUGCAGUGGAGAUUUUGGUGUGUGCUGAGGAUCCCACGGAUGGAGAAAACACAAAUGGAGAAGGAGGUGGACAGGUGAAAAGUACACCCUGGGGAUUAGGCCUGCAAAUGCCCCUCUGAGGGCUGCUCUAUCUCCCGUGGGAGUCUGUAUACUGUCUUUUGCUUUUCAUUCAUUUCCUUUUUCAUUGUCAAUUGAUUGUUGGAAUUUUAAAUUCAUUUUGAACUUCUUGAAUGCCACAGUCACCACUCAAAAGUGUGUUGUUUAAUAUUCACGAGAGUGUGUGUUCCAUAGUUUCUCUUGGUGUGGGUUGAGAGAUUUAUUGCUUUGUAAUAAAAAAGGAGAAAUUAUUUCAAUUUU
Molecule: long non-coding RNA, 1757 nt
Organism: Grammomys surdaster
Lineage: Eukaryota; Metazoa; Chordata; Mammalia; Rodentia; Muridae
Exons: 2
Source: RefSeq, a predicted model, not a curated record